CCUACGGGAAGGCAGCAGUGGGGAAUCUUGCGCAAUGGACGAAAGUCUGACGCAGCGACGCCGCGUGUGGGAUGAAGCUUUUCGGAGUGUAAACCACUGUUGCUCGGGACGAAUCUCCAGUUUCGACUGGAUUGACGGUACCGAGUGAGGAAGCACCGGCUAACUCUGUGCCAGCAGCCGCGGUAAUACAGAGGGUGCGAGCGUUGUCCGGAAUCACUGGGCGUAAAGGGCGCGUAGGUGGCUUGGUAAGCGUGUGGUGAAAGCUCGGGGCUCAACCCCGAGUCUGCCGUGCGAACUGCCGAGCUUGAGCAUAGUAGAGGCAAGUGGAAUUCCGGGUGUAGCGGUGGAAUGCGUAGAGAUCCGGAAGAACACCGGUGGCGAAGGCGGCUUGCUGGGCUAUUGCUGACACUGAGGCGCGACAGCGUGGGGAGCAAACAGGAUUAGAUACCCUGGUAGUCCACGCCGUAAACGAUAGGGUACUAGGUAUCUGGGGGAGCGACCCCCUGGGUGCCGGCGGCGUAACGACAUAAGUAACCCGACCUCGGGAGUACGGCCGGCCGAACGGCGUGAACGUAAAGUAAGAAAGUUAGACGNGNGUAGAGUGCGAGGACGACGACAGGGAGGUUAGGNGG
This 632-nucleotide ribosomal RNA is filed under the name uncultured bacterium. RNAcentral's name for it is "bacterial SSU rRNA". The stretch from base 1 to 540 matches the Rfam family "Bacterial small subunit ribosomal RNA", at positions 338 to 873 of the family's 1533-position model. The record is from RNAcentral.